This 666-nucleotide ribosomal RNA is filed under the name uncultured bacterium. RNAcentral describes it as "bacterial SSU rRNA". It matches the Rfam family "Bacterial small subunit ribosomal RNA", at positions 833 to 1501 of the family's 1533-position model. The record is from RNAcentral.
UUGGCCCUCAGUAUCGAAGCUAACGCGUUAAGUUCGCCGCCUGGGAAGUACGGUCGCAAGACUGAAACUCAAAGGAAUUGACGGGGGCCCGCACAAGCGGUGGAGUAUGUGGUUUAAUUCGAUGCAACGCGAAGAACCUUACCUGGCCUUGACAUGCACGGAACUUUCCAGAGAUGGAUUGGUGCCUUCGGGAACCGUGACACAGGUGCUGCAUGGCUGUCGUCAGCUCGUGUCGUGAGAUGUUGGGUUAAGUCCCGCAACGAGCGCAACCCUUGUCAUUAGUUGCUACAUUUGGUUGGGCACUCUAAUGAGACUGCCGGUGACAAACCGGAGGAAGGUGGGGAUGACGUCAAGUCCUCAUGGCCCUUAUAGGUGGGGCUACACACGUCAUACAAUGGCUGGUACAAAGGGUUGCCAACCCGCGAGGGGGAGCUAAUCCCAUAAAGCCAGUCGUAGUCCGGAUCGCAGUCUGCAACUCGACUGCGUGAAGUCGGAAUCGCUAGUAAUCGUGGAUCAGAAUGUCACGGUGAAUACGUUCCCGGGUCUUGUACACACCGCCCGUCACACCAUGGGAGCGGGUUCUGCCAGAAGUAGUUAGCCUAACCGCAAGGAGGGCGAUUACCACGGCAGGGUUCGUGACUGGGGUGAAGUCGUAACAAGGUAACC